GACGAACGCUGGCGGCGUGCCUAAUACAUGCAAGUCGAACGCAGUGGGGACGGGUGAGUAACACGUGGGUAACCUCCCAUCAGAGGGGAUAACACUUGGAAACAGGUGCUAAACCGAUACUGAUGGAUGGACCCGCGGUGCAUUAGCUAGUUGGUGGGGUAACGGCUCACCAAGGCCACGAUGCAUAGCCGGCCUGAGAGGGUGAUCGGCCACACUGGGACUGAGACACGGCCCAGACUCCUACGGGAGGCAGCAGUAGGGAAUCUUGCGCAAUGGACGAAAGUCUGACCGAGCCACGCCGCGUGAGUGAAGAAGGUUUUCGGAUCGUAAAACUCUGUUGGUAGAGAAGCGGUAUCCACACAGAAAGCCACGGCUAACUACGUGCCAGCAGCCGCGGUAAUAC
This 403-nucleotide ribosomal RNA is filed under the name uncultured bacterium. RNAcentral describes it as "partial 16S ribosomal RNA". It matches the Rfam family "Bacterial small subunit ribosomal RNA", at positions 28 to 526 of the family's 1533-position model. The record is from RNAcentral.